CCUACGGUGUGCAGCAGUGAGGAAUCUUGGUCAAUGGGCGUAAGCCUGAACCAGCCAAGUCGCGUGAGGGAUGAAGGUUCUAUGGAUCGUAAACCUCUUUUAUAAGGGAAUAAAGUGCGGGACGUGUCCCGUUUUGUAUGUACCUUAUGAAUAAGGAUCGGCUAACUCCGUUCCAGCAGCCGCGGUACUACGGAGGAUCCGAGCGUUAUCCGGAUUUAUUGGGUUUAAAGUUUGAGUAGGCGGCCGUGUAAGUCAGCGGGGAAAGUCUGUGGAUCAACCAGAGAAUUGCCGGUGAAACUGGGAGGCUUGAGUAUGGUUGAGGCAGGAGGAAUGAGUGGUGUAGCGGGGAAAUGCUUAGAGAUCACGAAGAACCCGGAUUGCGAAGGCAGCCUGCCAAGCCAUGACUGACGCUGAUGCACGAAAGCGUGGGGAUCAAACAGGAUUAGAUACCCUUGUAGUC
This 460-nucleotide ribosomal RNA is filed under the name uncultured bacterium. RNAcentral describes it as "partial 16S ribosomal RNA". It matches the Rfam family "Bacterial small subunit ribosomal RNA", at positions 338 to 795 of the family's 1533-position model. The record is from RNAcentral.